UACGAGAUAUGGGACGCAAACGCCGUCUG
RNAcentral lists this small RNA (29 nucleotides) under Bombyx mori (domestic silkworm). RNAcentral describes it as "ovarian small RNA-6101". Lineage: Eukaryota; Metazoa; Arthropoda; Insecta; Lepidoptera; Bombycidae. The record is from RNAcentral.